Patella vulgata (common limpet) is the source of this 8415-nucleotide long non-coding RNA. RefSeq lists it as uncharacterized. The record is from RefSeq and is a predicted model, not a curated record. NCBI's taxonomy places the organism in Eukaryota, Metazoa, Mollusca, Gastropoda, Patellidae. The transcript is spliced from 2 exons.
UUAUUUUUAUGUGACUAGAAUUAUUCAUGAUCUGUUUGUGAAUGAAUCUCGCUGUGUUCAAGAUCUUUCUUCUUCAGUUAUCAUAUCCGUUUUAUCAUCAAUUAACUAAAUUUAUUUCUCUUUUCACUCUUAUUUAUUGUUCUCGUGAUUCUCAAGUCAGAUUUUGAAUUUUAAAAAAAAAAGACAAAUUUUUGGGUGCCACAUUUGUCGCUCUUCUGGCGAACCGACGAAUCUGAUAUAUUUAAGUAUUGAGAAUUCUGUGUUUGAAAUUUGCGUUCUGUUGUUAUAUCUGUGGACAUCAAAUAAUAACAUUCAUUUGUGAUUUAAUAUUUCAUACAUAUACAUCAGGAGGCCAAACGGCAUUUACAUAAAUGUUUUUAUUUGAUGGCUACAGAGAUAUCAACAAUGUAUCAGAUUCGUCAGUUCACCAGAAAUGCGACAAUAUGUCCUUGUUGAAUAAAACAAAAAUGAUGCUGAUCCAAAACCAUUGCUCAUGUUUAGUGUUAUUGAAUGAGCAUUCGUAAACUUCGUAAAUUCCUUGAAAUAAACACAAUUAGCAAAUACAAGCUAUGGCCUUAAAAGUGCUAUUGUUACCAGUUAAUGGAACAGAAAUUUGAAUUAGAAAAAGGAUCAUCGAUUUAUUUAGUAUUUAUCACUACUUAAAUCCUAUGUAUUAUUAAAAUUGACAGAAAAAAAAAAGAAUAAAAAAUUUAAGGAACCCAGAGAUUUUGGAAUGGACAAUGGGUUAUCAAGAAUUCAAAUCUUGAAGUCAUUUUCUUAACCUAUAAAAACCUCACAAAGAAAACUAACUAAAGAGGUUUACUUUGAUAAUUUUACAAUAUGGACAAGCUGUACUUGAGUUAAUCUUGUGGAAUAAUAUAUAACACAUUAUGAAUUUACGACCCUCAGGUUUUUAAAAAGAUCAGAAAAAUCAAAAAAAUUCCAAAUACAUUUUCUGAUGAUUUCACUGAACAACAUGAUACAUUAGAUAAUUAGUGUGAAUUCUUGAAUACUCUUCUUUAGUGGUCGCUAGUAUAUUCAUCCUCACAAACCAAGGCUGGUCAAUACUUAAACAUACAUUAUGCAAGAGCUAAAUCUAACAAUUGCAGGUCUUUCUUUAGGCCUGAAAUGUGAUCUAAAUUAUUAAUUAGACAUUAAUUAACUUAUCCAGACCAUAAUCAACUCUUGAUGUCAUCGCUAGCCUGUGAUGUUUACUGGAUUAGAACCCAGUCUGCUGCAGCUGGUUAAAUCAAAAGGUGGAUAAUCGAGACUAUGUAUUUUUAUCAUACUGACUUUAGUAAUAAUGAUCGAGGCUAGGUCGAAAAUUCAAUCGCUAAAAUCUUGGUUCAGAGUUGAUCAAUUUGACAGAAAUUUUCAACAUAUUCUCUUUACGUUAUCUAUUCUUUAACUAUUAUAGCGAGAACUGCCAACUCUUUAUCUAAUCUCCCAUAAUGCCCCUUUAAAAUGUUGCUUCCUUUUUGUAUGCUCGCAUGGAAAUGUGGUCGUAUAUAGCCGUCGUUCCCUUCCGUCCAUCCUCUACAAUUGCUUGGGACAGAACAAAAAUGUCCCAACAAAAAUCGAAUGAAUUGUCCCCGAGCUCCGAUAUAAGUUUUGAACAGCCAUAGUUUUGUGAGGGUUUUGGUUUAGUCGACUCCCUAUUUUCUUCAGGGUAAUAAAUGCUUUUUAUGAUUCAACGCCCAUAAAUUUUCCGACCUUUUACUUAAAAAUUAAAUUUCAAACUCAAAUUAUAGGUAAUAAAAUAUGUUAAUAAUAUUUUCCAAAAGUUCCAAACAGCAUUUUUUAGAUAUUUCUUAUUUAUAUAACAGUCAAUUUAAAAAAUACUAUGAUAAGUUUCAGCAUAUUUUUUUUUUAUAUGUUCAGAAAGAUUCACUUUUCAAAAUAUGAUGUAAUAGAUACAUUGAAAUAAUUUUCAAUAAUACUAUAAGUUUCAGCAUUUUUUUUUUUCAUUUCAUUUAAGAAAGAUCCGCUUAUGAAAAUACAAGUUAAUUUUUAAAAAAAGAAAAGUUGAAAUAAUUUUAGUUUUAUGUCCGUAAAAAAUAACUUUGAAGUGAGGAGGUUGUGGUCUAUUUCCUCUUGAUUUCGUAUCAUUCCACAUGGCAUGUAUAAUUCUGUAUUUAUUCUCUUCGUUAAAUCUGGCCUCUUGUUUUACCCUAUUUUUUUAUAUUUGCAGUAUUUGAAUUUCCCAGGCCUCCGGUUCACAACACAUUCCCAGAUUUAAGUUAAGAAUUUACUCAACUUUUAAUCACUGUUUAUGAGAAAUAUCUUUGAUGAAGAAACACAAAACUUUUGCACAUAGUUUUUUAUUGAUGUAUUUGAUACAUUAAAACAACAAAAGUUUUAUAAAGGACUACAUUUUAGUUAAAAUAAGGCAAACAAUUUUGCGUAAAUUCUUAACUCAAGUCUGAGAAUGCUUUGUGAACUUGGGGACAGAACUUGGAUACAGAAACGAACGGAUAUAUCUGUAUUUGAUAGAGUAGAUAUUUUAUACUAUUAAUAUUAAUGAAUGAAUUAAACAAGAGAGCUAGAAUAUAUCUUUUUAUUAUAUUAUGAUUAUCAUCAAUUAUCUAUUAUAGUCGAUAUAAAUAUGGCAUAGUUUGUAGUCUUGGUUUACUAGAUGUUUUGAUAUCCAAAUAUACCAAAUAUGUCUGGAUAGAUGUGACUGCAUAAUUUGUAAUCUUGGUCUAACAGGUCUUUUGAUAACCACUAUUAUUAAUGAUUUCUGGAUAGAUCAAACUGCAUAAUAUAUAGUCUUCGUCUAACACGUCUUUUGAUAAAUGCUAUUAUUAAUGAUUUCUGGAUAGAUCAGACUACAUAAUUUGUAGUCUUGGUCUAUCGGAUGUUUUUGAUAUACAUUAGUGUCAUACUAAAGAUGUCUGGUUACAUGAGACUGCAUAAAUUUGUAGUCUUGGUCUAACAAUAACCAUUAUUAUUAAUGUCUGGUUUGAUUGAGACUAGGUAGUUUGUUAUUUCAAAAUCUAGUCCUACUAGUGUUGGUUCUAUAAAUAAUAUAUAUUUUUUUUUUAUCCGAUCUUUGUGAAUGACGUUUUCUGUGUUAAAUAACAGUUCUAUGUAUUUUUAUUACAUGUUAGUUGUAUAUCAUAUAUUAUUAUUAUUAUUAUUAUUAUUAUCAAUAACCCUUACCCUAACCCCUGCUAUUUCUCGUGUUCUACAGUUAAACAAAUGAAGACAACUAAUUUUAGGGCCAUUUAGGACAGGUCAAAUGGGGCUCAAAGGUUUAAGGAUGGGCUCCAAAUUGUUAUUAUUAUUAUCAUCUACAACCCUUACCCUAACCCCCUGCUAUUUCUCGUGUUCUACAGUUAAACAAAUUUUUAGGGCUUUUAGGACAGGUCAGAUGGGGCUCAAAGGUUUAAGGAUGGGCUCCCACUUGUUAUUGAUAUCUAUAUGGCCCUAACCCUUUCUAUUUCUCGUGUGCUACAGUUAAAUAUUAUGUACUGCAAAACAAAUGAAGACAACUACUAAUUUUAGGGCCAUUUUUGAGGGGGCAAAUAGGGCUCAAAGGUUUAUUAUGUACUUCAAACGAAUGAAGACAAUUAAUUUAAGGGUCAUUUAAGACGAGGCAAAUGUGACUGAAAUGUUUAAAAUCCUCCCCCUCCCCAAUCCAAAGGACUUAAUAAAUUCGAAAAUUGAUCGAAGGUAGUCAAUUUUCCCCAUUUCUGAUUGAUUCUAAGAUACAAAUAUUGCUUCUUGUGGCAUCCUGCAAACGAGAACGCUUUUAGGUCUUGGAAGGCCAAGCUGUAUAUAUUGCACCGACCUGCUGAAAUAAAUGAUAGAAAGAUGUAAACACCCUGAAUUAAAUGUUAACACGGACAGGAAAGAAGCAAAAACUGGGGUAAAGAAAAAAAACAUAAAACAAAUAUAUAAAACCCCAGAUUUUAAUAGUAAGGACAUGGCAUAAUACAAGUAACCCAUACCAUAAAAUAUCUCCAUUAUCUUCGGCCCAGUUUGUCCAUUGAAAGAUUGGCAUUAAUUACAUUUAUUGCCAUAUACCUAAUCCAUCGCUUAAAAUAUGCCAAUUGUCUCAAGCCCUAUUUGCCCCUUAAAAGAUGUAUAAUCCAUCGCCUAAAAUAUGUCAUUAUUCUGGACCCUGUUACCUCCUAAAAUUAAUAACAUUUAUUGGCGUAUGUAUAACCCAUCACAUAAAAUAUGCCCAUUAUCUUGAACCCUAUUUGACCCUUAAAAGAUGCGUAACCCAUCGCUUAAAAUAUGUCAUUAUCCUGGGCCCUGUUUACCUACAGUCAUUCAGAAUGGAUAUUACACUAUCUCAUACUUAGUAAACAUGUCAAGCUGAUCAAAACACAGAUCUUAUUCCGUUUCGUUUUUUAUAGUUCAAAAUUUCGUUUUAUUGUUCUUCACAACACUAGGAUCUAGAAGAGUUGUUAUAUAACCUGCAUUUUGGUUGUUACAGCCAGUUCUUGGCCUACUGUGCACCGGACUGUGAGUAAACCACUAGAAAAGUCAACACUGGUUGGUUAAUCAAAUGUCUGACGUCAUACGGUCAAAGGCCGCUUGUAUGACCCCACUACAACCAGUCAGCAACCAGUCAGAUCUUCAUACAGUGUAGGCCAUCGAAAGUAUAAAAAAUCGAAACGAAAUAUAGAUCUAUAUUUUAACCAGAUUGUAGGAAUACACCAUGUCAACUCUGCUACCAUAUCAUAUUUUUUUACUUUUUUUUACAUCUGCAUGUGUUUUAUUAAAUAUUGAAUAUUAUUUUUUUCGUAUUAUUAGCAGUGGUACGAUUUGUACUUCUCCCAAAAAAAAAUGUUAAGGUGUACAAUUUCCUCAAAAUUAAUUUUAAUCCAAAAGUCAUAAUCGAUUCUUAUUAUAAGCAUGAUAUUUAUAAUAUACUCAGUGGUUGCUAUGGUAAUCUGUGACACUGCUGUUUAUUUCUAUCAAUGAUAAUACAUCGACUUGAUCACCAACUCGUUACGGAAUUGAGAGGAAAAUUUGGGGUCGCUUAAAUCUUAAAGGUGAUUUGUCUGCAAUAUUUUAGCCACAUUGAAUAAUUUAACUUUCUGUGACGUUUUUCUCUAAAGUAAGGUACCAGGAUGGAUUAAGCCGUAAGAUAUUUCAUAUUUGAGCGAUAAUGAAAAUGAUGAUGAUGAAUCAAGCCGUUAAGUAUUUGCGAGAUGUUUGUUACCUGUGAUAGCAAAAUAAGUUAGAGGUCUCUUGCAAAAUGAACAGGAGUAUUAAACAAUGACAUGUGACCUCCGACUCAUUUUAGCGUGGUAUCAAGUCUAUGUUUUAUUUUGGUUUAAAACACUUAUUAUUACAGAAAGCUGUUGUAUGUUGUUUGGUGUUUUCUUGUUAAUAUAAAUACACGUUGUUGUUUCCCAUUUUAUAUAAAUAACGUAACAUAUAUGUGGUCAUAAUUCUGUGCAUAGUUUUAAAAUAACAUUAUAAAAAGCAUAUAAAUGUUGUAGUUUGGUUUCGUUUUUUGAUGAAAAUUAUUUCCCAGCAUUUUAUCUGCUCAAUUAAAUGUGAUAUACAACACUUCUCUCGAAUUUUAAUUAAAGAUAAUUAAUUAAUUAAUGUUCUAUUAUUAAUUAACCGGGCACUUGCUUCUUCUAGCUGACCAUUUCAUUAUGUUGCACCAUGAAAUUUUUGGAUCAGGAACCAGUCCGAGAUCACUACACUUCUUGUUGUUAUUUAAGUGGUCAGGGGUGGGGGGGGGCACUCUUCGCAAAAAGUCUAGGCUUGUCCAAUUCAUGUACAAUUGUUUGCUUGUUUUUUGGACAAUUGCGUAUUGAUUAUCUGAAUUUGAUUUUUGAUAUGACGUUACAAUUCUAAGAUAGCGGCAAUGACAUCGGGGUUCAGUUCCUGGUCCAUGGAGUACUAUCUGGAUAUUGUUAAAUGAUUAGUUCUCUUUGAUGUCGGAAAAACUUGUCUCAUCACCAAUGGAAACAUGAAAGUUAAAAAAGUGUAGCUCGUGGAAUUCUUUGUAAAUAGGAACUGUGAAAACCUUAAAAUGUUAUUUCUUCCAUUUGAAAUCUGUUAAAACAUAAUUCAAAUCUUUGUAGAUUGAUCAUUUCAGUACUGUAUAUUCAAUCUCGCAAAUUUUUACAGCUUUCGUCAAAGCAUAAGUUUAAAUACUCCGUAAUCAAAUCGUCAUGAUGUGAAGUUCUACAUCUAGACAAACUUUCAAUAUGUCCUGCCAAGUUUUUCCUGGUGUAAUGUAACAAGUUCAUAAGUUUUUCUAGCAUAAUGUGGUAAAAACCAGUAAAUAAAAUAAUUUUAUUCUUUUUGUUAAGCGUUCAUUCUAGUACAUAAUGUUACAGUGUGUAUUUAUUUUAAAUAUUAGAAAAUAUAAGAAUAUUUAUAUAUGUGUUUCUCGCCUCUCACUUCUUCAGUUUUGUGGGAUUUUCAGUAAGGCAGUAUGUAUUUAAUAGAUAGUUCAGUAAUUUUCCUUUUAAGCUGUGGUCAAAGGGGAGAUAAUAGAAACUGGUGCAGUAGUUAUCUCCCCUUAGAUGUUAAAGUGGAGAUCACUUGGCAGACCUCGGCAGAUUCCGUUACUCUACAUCUAGCCUCGGCUGUAUGACGUUAAGUGAUAUGUACUUACACCUAUACAAUUGUGAUGCGGCACCAGUUUACUUAUUAGGAAAACUUGCCACUUUUAUUUGUAUGAUAAAACAUUCUUUGAAAGGCAUCAUCAUGGGCAACGCCGUUGGUAAUCCAGGAACUUGAAAGUAGUUCCAAUGGCGGACUACAUCAUACAGAAGAGGCUAGAUGUAGGGUACUGAAAUCUGCUGAGGUUUGCCGAGUGACUGGAGAUAAUAUAAACUUGAAUAGUGGUUACAUUCAUGUGGACACCAAAGGGGAGAUAAUAUAAACAGGAGCUAUGGUUACCUCCCUUGGAUAUCAAAGGGGAGAUAAUAUUAACAGGAGCAGUAGUUACCUCCCCUUAGACCUUUUUAUAUAUUAUCCAAUUUGUUUCAUUCGAUGUGGAAAUGUACGACUAUAUAUUUCUAUGAUAAAUACUCAUGGUUGGUGAACAGUUAAGAUCAUGUGAUUAAAUGAAUUAUGUUUAUUUUUAAAACUAAAUAUAUUCGUUAAGUUAGGGUAAUUGUGAGUCAAAAGGGCUGCCGUAAAAAUCAAAGUUAAAUUUGUCUAUUUACAUUAGCACUGCCUGUUUAAGAGCCAGUUAAAAGUGAAACAAUAAUUACAUGAGCUAUUGGUAUUUUUUUUAUUUUUUUUUAUUAAAUUGUCUUUCCAUGUAACCAUGUAUAUUGAAAUAUUUGUUUAAAUGAGAAAAAUGGCGAAUUACCUGCCCCUGCUCAGAACACCUGUCAGUGGGCUUAAUCUUUUUGUUAAGGCCAGCUCAAUUUUUGUCAAGGUCGCUGAGAUGUAAACAAGAUUAGAGCACGUGAUUGUUGGCAUGAUUGUUGGUUAGGGUAAACAUUGGGGCUAGGUCCAGGGUUAGGGUUGGGAUUAGCGCUAGCCCUGUUUAAAUCUCUUGACCCGUGACGAAAAAUUGAGCUGGCCUUAUCAUUUAGCACUAACCCCCUGUCAGCACCAGCCCCCAACACCAGACAGCACUAGCCAUGACUUCGUAGUGUAGCCUAUCGUGACAAAUUUCAUCAUAAUUAGCUGCGAAAUGAUUUUGACCUGUGAUAACUAGUGGUCACAACAAAUGUUGAUAUACUAUUCGAAUUUAAAUGCUAUUUGAAUAUUCUAUUCUAUUGAAAUUAUCCAUUUUUGGAUUGCUCCUGGGUGCAUUUCCAGAUUUCUAGAAUAAAUCUGUACAAAUUAAUUUCUUUUCCUUUAUCUGUUUGAAUAUUAAUAAAUUUCACUGAAUUAACAUUCAAAAAUAUUACAUAGAAGAAAAAACAACAAAAAAGAUCAAAUUUCCAUUAUUUUUGAUAGACAUUGAAUAACAAAUACCAAAAUAAAAAUCAUUUGAAUAACAAAUACCAAAAUAAAAAUCAGUUUGAAUAAGCGUAAAAUAAAUAUCUGAAUUCAAAUCUUGAAUAUUGGUAUGAGCACUAGUGACGACAAAACCUAACGUGUGGAUUGCACAAAUAAAUUGACGAAAAACAAGGUUAUUGUCAUGGUGCAUAAAUAAAUAAAUACACCUCAGUUAUUCCAGUACAAAGGGCAGGUAACUCGUUCAUUUCUCCUAAUGGCUAAAAAUGGUCAUUUUAAUGUGAUGUAAGUUUGUUUUGUUUUUUUCAUUUUUUUUCCCCCGCGGUAAAUUUGAUAUAGUGUGAGAAUUCUUAUAGACGUGUUUUGUUAUAUAAGUGUUUUUAUUCAAAAAAAUUUUUUUUUUUCAAUUUCAAUUGUCACAAUAUACCCAUUUCCACUAUUGAAACACAUUUUCAUUUUAAACAAAAAAAGCCAUUGCUAAAAUUUUCUUCGAAAUAAAUUUUUCACGAAUUA